RNAcentral lists this long non-coding RNA (8222 nucleotides) under Nicotiana benthamiana. RNAcentral's name for it is "long non-coding RNA (NBEN_LNC021123)". The record is from RNAcentral. Lineage: Eukaryota; Viridiplantae; Streptophyta; Magnoliopsida; Solanales; Solanaceae.
CUACGGUGAAAAAGACCCCCUUUCUCUUCACAUUUUUAUCUUCCUCAUCUCACACCCCUUUCAACACCAACAAUCACUCUCCAAACACCGCUCCAGCCGACCAUCUCCAACCACCCUCUAUCGCCGGAGACAGUAGCAACACGACCAACCGUAAGCAGCCGCAGCUGCUCACCGCCGCUCUACGCCAGAACCCGCCGUCUCCAGCCGCCGGACCACCAUUAUCAUCGUUGAGCAUUCAACCACCACCCAAACGCCAUGGUCUGCCACCAAACGACCAAAUGACUCACUCCUCUCCCAAGGUGUCACUGUUUUCCGUCCAAACGACUCCCCACACACACAAUCACAAGCAGAAGGUCGGACAUCUUGUUUUUGCGAGCUUCCUCGUUUGAUUUUCAGUUUUGGAACCAUAGAGUCCGACGGAGUUUUAUAGAAGUCAUUUUAGUUUCGAGCUUUCCGGCGCCAAAUCCAAGUUUGUUCUGAUCCGAGAUUUUGGUUCGAUUUUUGCCGAUUCAUUCGAAGCCGCGUCGUCAUUCAGUCCGUAUAAACUUCAGGUUCAUCUUUGUCUUGUUGGUUUCUCUCUUUCAAAUUUAAUUUGUUCAUGCGAGUGUCCACUGUAGUCUUUGUUUCAUCAGAUCUGGAUGUGUUUGUGGUGAAGAAGAUGUUAGUAUUAAUUAGUUGCCUUGUUUCUUUUUCUGAUUUGCCUUUAACAUAUAGGUGUAUCGUUGGUUAUUUCAUUUUUAUCAUGAAGAUUGGAUUGAUUCCUUAUGUCUUGUUAAUUUUUGGUCUCAUUAGUUUUGUUCAAAUAUAUUAACUUCAUGAACUUUACUGCCAUAAGCUUAUUGAGAAGCUCUUUCCUGAUGCAAAACAAAAAAACGGUAUAUGAAUUUUGUUGAUAAAUUAAAGAAAAAAACUGACUCCCAAUUUGGGUAUAGCUAAAUCAUGGUUUCGCACGGGGUAGAGUUGGGUUGCUAUUCUUUAACUGAACUACGUAAUUAGAUUAAAGGAAUUUGGGUUUUGAGUUAGGUAAAGGAUUUUAGACUAAAAGGUUCGUCCUUUUGUUUGGACCCGGGCUUGAACUUAAGGCCCCGAUUUUAAAUAAUUAAUUAGGAUAUUUCUUUCAUUAUUAGAGACAAAAAAUCAACAAGAUUGAAAAUAUAGUUAUCUUUUAGGUUUAUCCUUUAAAAUAAAAUGACGAGCCUCGCCAACAAAAGUACAAAUUAUGGGGCCCUCAAUAAAGGUUUAAAAUAUCUAGAAAAUCGGGAAGGGUCGUUUAGCGAAUAUCAUGACCCCCCCAAAAGAUAAUAACGUGUUAGACUCUUUUAGGCGCGACUUUAAUAAUUUAUAUUCGUGAAUAUGGGUGGGCAUUUUGUGCGGUCCAAAUCCAAAUCCUAAAACGUUGAAUAGAGUGUGCCUAGGAUUGCAGGUUCAUUUGACGCAGGGCAGUCCGAAAACACAUUUUAAACGAUGUUCACUUUUUCAAAUAAAUAUUAUAUUAAAUAAAAGCGGUUAAGCAUAAAAUUGGCACAUAGGCUCUUCAUGNNNNNNNNNNNNNNNNNNNNNNNNNNNNNNNNNNNNNNNNNNNNNNNNNNNNNNNNNNNNNNNNNNNNNNNNNNNNNNNNNNNNNNNNNNNNNNNNNNNNNNNNAACAGUUGAGCGACCGUGCUAGAACCACAGAACCCGGGAAUGCCAAACACCUUCUCCCGGGUUAACAGAAUUCCUUAUCCGGAUUUCUGGUUUGCAGACUAUGAACAUAGUCAUCUCUUUCCUCGGUUCAGGAUUCAACCGGUGAUUUAGGACCAUUAAUCUCCCAAGUGGUGACUCUGAAAUCUUAAUAAAUAAAUCCCGUUCUGAUUGUCCUUUGGCGGGGGUGUACAGCGAAAAAAGAGGCGUGACACCGUAAUCAAUGCACAUCCUCAUCAACCCAUCCUUUUUCUUUACAAAAAAUAUUGGUACACCCCAAGGUGAUACACUGGGUCUAAUGAAACCCUUAUCAAGCAAGUCCUGAAGCUGCUCCUUCAACUCUUUCAACUCUGGCGGGGGACAUGCGAUACAACGGAAUGGAAAUAGGCUGAGUUCCAGGAGCCAGAUCAAUACAGAAAUCAAUAUUCCUGUCUGGCGACAUACCCGGCAGGUCUGAAGGGAAAACCUCGGGGUACUCCCAAACAAUAGGAACAGAGUCGAUAGAUGAAAUCUCUGCGCUGGAGUCGCGAACAUACGCCAAAUAUGCUAGACACCCCUUCUCAACCAUAUGUCGAGCCUUGACAUACGAAAUAACACUACGGGUGGCAUGACCUGGAGUCCCCCUCCACUCAAGUCAGGGCAAAUCUGGCAAGGCCAAAGGAACGGCCUUGGCGUGACAAUCCAAAAUAGCACGAUACGGGGACAACCGGUCCAUCCCCAAUAUAACAUCAAAGUCAAACAUGUCUAAUAGCAAUAAGUUGACAAGGGUCUAAAUACCCUCAAAUAACACCACACAAGAACGAUGCACUCGGUCGAUCACUGUAGAAUCACCAAACGGUGUGGACACAUAUACAGGAAUACCUAAAGCCUCACUAGGCAUGAUCAAAUAGGGUGCAAAAUAGAACGACACAUAAGAAUAAGUAGAUCCCGGAUCAAAUAAUACUGAAGCACCCCUAUGACAAACCAGCAAAGUACCUGCAAUCACGGCAUCAGAUGACUCGACAUCCGGCCUGGCAGGCAAUGCAUAACAACGGGGCUGGCCCCUACCUCUCUGAACUGUAUCUCUGGGACGAUCUGCUGCGUGUUGACCCCUGCCUCUAGCUGUCCGAGCUCCACCUCGACGGUCUCUACCUCCACCUUUAUGAUCCCUACCCCCGCCUCUUGCUGGCUGGGCGGCCUGUGGAUCACAUGCUGCCUGAAUCGUAGGGCGAGGACCCUACUUCUGAGAACUACUCGAGGCUCGAGGGCAAAACUUGACAAUAUGACCGGGUCAUCACAACCAUAACAUGCCCUCGGCUGCUGAGACUUCUUGCCCUGUCGACCGGUAUGUCCUCCCCUGAAGCUCUGAAGUGGCGAUGUAGUGAUAGGGGCUGGUGGUGAGCUGAAUGUCUGAUGGUACGAAUAAUACUGCUAAGGACCCCCACCGCCUGGAAUGCCAUACGAAACCUGAAGUACCGACUGGAAGGGCCUCGGGGGAUGGCCUCUGUCAUAGGAAUCCUCUAGAUGAGGUACCACUAAUCUACUAGAAUGUCGAGGCAUCUUGUCUGAACUCAGACUACCCACUCGAACCAGUGCCAUCUCUACCAGGCGGGCCGCAUUGGCCGCCUCCUGAAAGAAAAUAUCACUGCCAACUCCCAUAGCCAUCUAAAGGCAAAUUGGCUGAAUCAAUCCAUCAAUAAACCUCCAGACCCUCUCUCGCUCUGUAGGGAGUAUCACAACUACAUGGUGUGCCAAGUCAAUAAAGCUGGUCUUAUACUAUGUAACUGUCAUAGAGCCCUGCUGGAGGCGCUCAAACUGUCUGCAAAGUGCCUCCCGCUGAGUGACGGAGAGAAACUUCUCCAAAAAUAACUCCACAAACUGAUCCCAUGUCAAAGGUGGAGACCCUGCUGGUCUAGAUAGACAAUAAUCUCUCCACCAAGUCUUGCGGGAUCCUGCAAGCCUGAAGGUGUAAAAAUCGAGCCCAUUGGCCUCCACUAUACCUAUAGUCCGGAGGAUCUCAUGACAACUGAAUAGGAAAUCCCAGGGAUCCUACGAUGAAGCACCGCUGAAAGUGGUGGUGAAAAGCUUGGAGAACCGAUCAAGUCUCCAUAAAGCAUUCGAAGACAUGGUCGUCCCAUCUCUGGCCGGAGCUGUAAUACAUGUCUGAAAUGCCACUGCGGGCUGAACCAAUGGAACCUGAAUCUAGGGAGCUACCUGCUCUGGAGUACGUGUACCAGGAGUCUAAACUCCUCCUCCAGCCUGAGAAGCGGCUGGUGCUACUGGCAGCAAACCCGCUCUAGCGACACUGUCAAUAAAGCUUGCUAUGCGGACGAGAGCAUCCUGGAGAUCGGGGGAAAACAUCACCCCUCUUGGGACCUGAGCUGGGCCCACUGGAGCUGGUGGGGCUGGAACCUCCUCAUCAAAGUCAAUAUGAGGCUCCACCUCUAGAACUGGUGCCUGGGGCUGUGCUCUGCCCCUACCAUGACCUCUGGCACGGCCUCGGCCCCUGCCUCUCGUGGGAGAUGCUGCUGGGGGCUCGGGGUGCUACGUAGAAGAGGAGGACGCACGUGUUCUCACCAUCUGCGAAAGAACAGAGUAGAACGACAAUCAAUAUUUGAAAAACAAAAUCGCACGACAAGAAUGAAAAAAAUGAAAUUUUUCCUAACUCUGUAGCCUGUGGGGGAUAAAUACAGACGUCUCCGUAUCAAUCCAUCAGACUCUACCGAGCUCGUCCAUGAGUUGUGAGACCCAAGUAACCUAGUGCUUUGAUACCAACUUGUCACGACCCGGAUUUUCCCACCAUCGGGAGUCGUGAUGGCGCCUACUGUAGGAGCUAGGCAAGCCAACCUUUUUAAAGCAUUUCACAAAAAUCCUUAAUCUAAAAUAGUAUAAUAACUGAAAUAAUUAAUAAAAAUCCACGCGGAAGACUUUUAACAAAAUAACAAUAGAACAAUGCGGAAAUCUGUAGCAUGCAUCUACCUAGUAUCUGGAGUCACUAUUCACGGACUACUAAAAGAGUACUAGAAACAUCAGUCUGAAGGAAAUAUAUAACAAGUCUGUUUUGAUACAAUAAAAACAAAUAGGAAGAGAUAGAUGAGACUCAAGGCCCACGAACGCCAGCAAACUGCCUCGGAGUCUCUGGACUAAAGGCUCGCUCCCUAGCUACUGAUGCGGUCCGUAAGCAGUAUCCUGACCUUUGCACAAAAGGGCACAUAAGUGUAGUAUCUGCACAACCGACCCCAUGUGCUGAUAAGUGCCCGGCGAGGUAGUGACAAGGCUAAACAAGACCUACAAAAACCAACCUAUACAGACGUAUGUGCAAUAACGGAAGGAUAACAAAAUUCAAAACAGAUAAUGGGAAAGGGACAAGCUGGGGGUGUAACAGUUCAUUUAUAAGUUCAACGAAUAAGAAAUGGAAAAUGAAUAUUUAACAUUAAUAAAAGAAAGCCAGUGAAUCAAAAACUGCACGGCACCACCCUUCGUGCUUUUACUCUCAUUUCUCACCAAAACUUUCAAAUAUAACGCACGACACCACCCUUCGUGCUUUUACUCUCAAUACAUAGUGCACGGCAUCGCCCUUCGUGUUUUCCUCACAUAACUCUCACAUCAAGGCACAGAAUGACCCUUCUUGCUCAAAUAAUCAAGAAACAUGGCACGGAAAGACCCUUUGUGCAAAAUCUCUCUCUUCCUCACCCAAUCAAUGGUCACAACCAAACAGGAAAGGGAUAUACAACAAGAUAAAAAAUCCCGGCAAUGGAGAACAACUCUAAAACAAGUCCCGGCAAGGGAGAAUAACUCAACAAUAAGUCCCGGCAAGGGAGAAUAACUCAACAAUAAGUCCCGGUAAGGGAAAAUAGCUAAACAAUAAGUCUCGGCAAGGGAAAAAUACCAAAAUUCCUUCUUUAGCUCAUUUACUUCUCAACCAACACUUUAUGGUGCAUUUAACAAGUAAUUAUCACAAUUAUUCACUUCUUUCGAAAUUUUUAUAGCAAUUAUGACUCACACUCAUGCUAGACUCGGGCGCAUAGGUAACCGUCACCAUACGUAUACACCGACUCCACAUAGCACAUUUUUUGAAAUUUUAAUAGCAAUUAUGACUCACGGCCAUGCUAGACUCAGGUGCAUAGGUAACCGUCACCAUACCUAUACACCGACUCCACAUAGCACGUAGCAAUUAUUAUCCUAAUCCUAUUCCCUCAAGCCAAAGUUAGAUCAAAUACUUACCUCGAAUCCGAAAAUAGCAACUCAAAGCUCAAAAAUCGCCUUUCCUCUAGAAUUCAACCCUGAACCAACAAUAUCUAACAUAAAUUAACUCAAUAUUAUCAAUAAUAGCACAAGGAUACAAUUUCCUAGCUUAGAAAUGCAUUUUCUGACUUUCUUCCAAAAAUACCAAAAUUCGACACGGGCCCACAUGGUCCAAACUCGAGGCUCGGACCAAAUUUUGAUUAUCCAUAACCCCAUGAGUCCAAAUAUGCAAUUUGUUUUGAAAUCGGACCCAAAAUUGAGGUCCAAAUCCCUAAUUUUAAGAAAACCUAGGUUCUAUCCCAAAUCCCCAUUUUUACCCAUUGAAAGCUUUGAUUUUCAAUUUUAUGAAAACCUAGGCUCUACCCCAAAUCCCUAUUUUUACCCAUUGAAAGCUUUGAUUUUAAGUUGAAAUCAUGACAAAAGAUGUUAAAGUUUGAAGAAAUUGAGUAAAAGUUGAUUUACAAGUGAUAUGGGAGAGAAGGAGUCGAGAGGAAAUCGCCAAUGGAGGUUUGAGUUUUGAAAAUAUGAAAAAUGAGGUUUGAAAUUAUCUAAGUAUAGGAUGCACUGUCGCAGAUGUCGCAAUAGCGAAGUUUUGUUUGCAAUUUCAAAGAACGCAGAAGGAAUGGCAGAUAUCGCAAUUACGAGAAAUUGUUUGCAAUUGCGAAGAGGGCAGAUUUUGGGCGGGGCUCGCAUUUGCGAGAAUGUCUUCGCAUUUGCGAAUACUGGGCUUUAAAGGGGGGAUCGCAUUUGCGAAAAUUGCUUCGAAUUUGCGGAGUCUGGCUAUAAAAAGGGAGGAUCUCAUUUGCGAUUCAUUCCUCGCAUUUGCAGUACGGCAGGCCAUUGGGGGAAGGCUCGCAUUUGCGAGGCUGGCUUGGCAAAUGUGAUGACUGCAGAUACCGGCUGCUACAAUGCUACAAAAUGAUCCUAACACCUAUCUGAAACUCGCUCGAGCCCUCGGGGCUCCAACCCAAACAUGCACCUAACCUCAAGAACAUCAUAUGGACUUACUCGUGCGAUCAAAUCACCAAAAUAACAUCAAAAUCAAAGAAUCAACCUUCAAAACUCAUGAUUUUCANNNNNNNNNNNNNNNNNNNNNNNNNNNNNNNNNNNNNNNNNNNNNNNNNNNNNNNNNNNNNNNNNNNNNNNNNNNNNNNNNNNNNNNNNNNNNNNNNNNNNNNNNNNNNNNNNNNNNNNNNNNNNNNNNNNNNNNNNNNNNNNNNNNNNNNNNNNNNNNNNNNNNNNNNNNNNNNNNNNNNUUAUACCGGGCUUCGGAACCAAAAUACGAGCCCGAUACCAUUACUUUUGAUCAAAUAUCAAUUUUGUUUUUCUUAUGCAUUUUCAGAAAAUAAUUUUACGGAAAAGUUCCGUACUCGGGCCUCGUACCUCCGAUUUCUAAUCCGGGAGUAUGAACGGGUCCCAAAUUUCCAUACGGAUCCUCCGGGACUGUUACAUUAUGGGUCCGGGUCCGUCUACCCAAAAUAUUGAUCAAAGUAAACUAUAGCUAUAUUAUUGUCAUAAUUCAUAGUUUUUAAUACAGAAUUCAAAUAUUUCCACAUAACAAAUUUUCGGCUUCGCACCCGGACUGCGCACGCAAUUCAUGGUAUCCAAAUAUGAGAUUUUCAAUGCCUCAGAAGCACAAAGAAAGGAAGAAUUAUGGUGAUGACCCUUUGGGUCAUCACACUAUGAGGUAUGAUGCCCUGGUUUUCCACAAACUAAACAAGAGCCCUUUUUUAGGAUUUUUAGGCUUGCAACCUUGAGAAUUAUUCUUAUACCUUUUGCGGUUGUUGUUGCUGCUUUGCACUAAGUUUUCUUUGAGAGCUGUCAUCCUAGAUUUGGCAGAUUCUUUUCUGUUGGAAUCUUUAAUUUGGAUGCGGGUUACAAUUUCCUCAAUGGUGAAAUUUUUCUGUUUGUGCUUUAAGUUAUUUUUGUAGUCACUCCAUGAGUUAGGCGGCUUUCAAUUAGCACUCCAAUAACAAACGUUUUUGGUAAAGACAUCCCCUUGACCUUCAAAUCUUCUAACAAUUUUUGAAAUUCGUUGAUUUGUAUGUUCAUCUCUUUAUCAUCUCUCAUCUGCCACUGAUAAAAUUUUCAUACUACAAAUUCUUAUUUUGUAGCAUCUUUAACAGUGAAUUUUUUAAUUAAAGUUCCCCAUAUAGCUUUUGCUUCUUUAUAACUUCAAUACACGUCAAACAGUUCAUUAGAAAUAGUUUACAACAUUGUAUGAUGGCACACCUUAUUGGCAUAUUGCCACUGAUUCCAUUAUUUUAUUAUCAACGUCUGCACUAGGUUGUGGAUGCAGCAGUGGAUGUGUAACACUAU